AGCAGCCGCCGCGGUAAUACAGAGGGUGCGAGCGUUAAUCGGAUUUACUGGGCGUAAAGCGUGCGUAGGCGGCUUUUUAAGUCGGAUGUGAAAUCCCUGAGCUUAACUUAGGAAUUGCAUUCGAUACUGGGAAGCUAGAGUAUGGGAGAGGAUGGUAGAAUUCCAGGUGAAGCGGUGAAAUGCGUAGAGAUCUGGAGGAAUACCGAUGGCGAAGGCAGCCAUCUGGCCUAAUACUGACGCUGAGGUACGAAAGCAUGGGGAGCAAACAGGAUUAGAUACCCCCGUAGUCCCUGUCUCUUAUAC
Molecule: ribosomal RNA, 303 nt
Filed under: uncultured bacterium
Lineage: Bacteria
Description: partial 16S ribosomal RNA
Rfam family: Bacterial small subunit ribosomal RNA
Source: RNAcentral